UUUGACUUAGAAGGUGAGUGGUAAAACAAUAUAGAGUCAGUGUUUCACGAGUGUAUUUACACACUGCUGUAUUCAAAACGGAUAACCAACAAGGACGGUAUAGUACAGAACAUGGAACUCUGCUGAAUGUUAUGUGGCAGCCUGGUUGGAGGUGGGUGUUGGGGAGAAUGGAUACAUGUAUGUGUGUGGCUGAGUUCUUUUGCUGUUCACCUAAAACUAUCACAGCGUUGUUAAUUGAUUAUUUGUUGUUGUUCGGUCACUAAGUCCUGUCUGACUCUUUGCGACCCCACAGACUGCAGCAUGUCAGGCCUCCCUGUCCCUCACUAUCUGCUGGAUUUUGCCCACGUUCAUAUCCACGAGUCAGUGAUGCUAUCCAACCAUCUCAUCCUCUGAUACCCCAAAACAAAAUAAAAUGUUCAAAAGGAAAAAAUAAGUUUAAAAAAGACCUAGGACAUUAAAUCAAAAGUAAACCCAACUGAAAAUUGGUAGUUUUAAAAUUUUAUACCCAUAUAAUUUGUGGAAUAAUUGUUGAUGCAUAUGAUUAGCCAAAAAUUGAAAAACAAAUGCAAAGAUCAAAUUCCUACCUCCACUCCCUAAUCCCAAAGAAGGGAGUUGAAAAACUAACUUACACAUUUUACUGGGUUGACUUACUUAAAGCACAGCUACCCUAAAUGGUUAUAAAUUUCUACAUAUAUAGGUGUUAGCAGAUAUUUUUAUAUGGGCAAAUCCUGAAUAGGAGGGAAAAGUAAUUUCAACUUUGGGCAUACCACUAGCAAAUUUAAGAAUAGGAGUUUUCUUUUCAGCUUUUCCUAAAAAUAACACCAUGACCUUUCAUUUCAGGUAGCAGAAUGAAGUGACUGCUAGAGCCUGACUUCCUCCUAUGAAAAAGGGUUCCAAGAUCAUCAGAUUGGAGAAACUGACCCAUUGGAACUCAAAACAUACUUGCCCACCAGGCUCCUCAGGCCAUGGGAUUUUCCAGGCAAGGACACUGGAAUGGGUUGCCAUUUCCUCUUCCAGGAACCCUAGAGUGCUGGAAAGAGCUACAUGAACAUACGACUGAGAUUGUUUUGCAAGACUUGGUGACCUACAGCUGGUCCACAGCUAAUUGCUGGAGCCUCACUGGAGAUGUAAAUACUGUAGUUUCGGGACACACACCUGAAGAGCACAAACCUCUAUGUAAUGGGUCAGAGAGCAGCAGUUCAUUUCUUGAUGCCUUUUUCACAUAUGCACCAUCUGUAUACUGAAUGACAUGCAUGGAAAAUGUGUUUAACGGUGGAGAAACAGAAAUGCGUAGUGGUUUUUGAGCUCUUAGUUUUGUGUCAUGAAAAUGAAUUUCAAUCCUGUCUGUCCCAUUUGUUAGCUGCAUCUGUUUUUCUAUCAGUACAAUGCAUGUAACGCUCUUGGGACAGUUAUUGUGUGAGUUAAAUAAAUGGAUGUGUGUAAAAACACUUGGCGUGGUGCCUAGAACAGAGUAAGACAUCAAACAAUAGCUGCUGUUAUUCUGUAGGAUAUAGUGUUCUGCUACCUGACUCUUCUGAAAAGGAAACUAAUACCCAAAUUUGUCUCAUGUGAGUUUUAGUCUCGUGGGAUCAACUAUGAAGGCUGCUAGCAGAGCUCAAUGGGAGAAAACCCAGUGUCUGACCUGUGGCUACAGAGGGGUUGUGUCUUUGGUUCCUUUUAGUCUGGCCAACCUGGUCCUUUACCAGCAUGAAGCUGCUUCCUCCCAAGGUUUUCACUUGCAAAAACAAGAAGACCCUGGAGCCCAACAACUAGUUACUUAUUUUUAAAUGUUUUGAAAUAAAAAUAAUAGCGUGAGGCUUUUGCUUCAGCUCUCUUUCUGAAAUGACUCUUGACAGGAACUGGAAAUGGUUCCUGUCAAUGUAGUCUCUCUCGCUCAUGACCAAACGGGAUGUAGGAGAUUGGGUGGAAUUUUCUGAGUUCUUUGUAUACCUAGGAAUGACAUGUCUGUCAUUUAGUUAAAAUAAGUUAUUGGUUUUUAAAUCAAAUUAAAAUAUUGAGUCAACAAGCAGGUACUGUACUUGAAUUCUCUCUUAUUUGUAAGAACCGUUUUUCACUAUUUCAUGAGUAGUGGGGGAAAACAAGGGGUUAUAAAUAACAAAAACAUGUUUUGGGCUUCAUGAAACCCAUAGAGGCAAUUAUAGGACAGUCUGGAAAAAAGUUGAAAUGACCAUUAUUUCUCAGGAAAAAAAAAUCUUUCUUGCCUUAUCAAAUAAGCAAGCUGACAAUAUUCUUUGAAAACAAUUUUAGAAUAUUUACUUCCUUCUUUCACUGGAGGCCUGUGCUGAACUCAGAUCAUUUCUUCUUGAGUCCUGUACUUUCUCUCCUUCCUGUGAAUAAGAGUGGUAAUUGUCUUCAGCAUCACUUCAGGGCUUAGACUUGAAAAAAGUCUUAAGAGCAAGACAGGUGAUUGGUUUUGCUCGAGGGAUCUAGAGAAAGCUGGACACACAUUCAAUGGAAUAGUAGACUAAUUACAGAUAGCUGUAGCAGAUCAAGUGUUGACUUCUUCCGGUGAUUAAGAGAUAGCACAAUUUCGGGUUACUGUGUUGUUGCUUCAGGACUUGCCAUGUUUAAAUAUCCAUGGCCUGGGAGUAAAUGGGCAAUGAUCAGUCUAGUCUCUUGUUUAAAUUACCUCCAAAGCUCUAUUUGUUUCAGAAAUAUCAGAAAUAAUCCAGAAACUCCCCAGAUUCUUAGUCUGAGAAUCUGAAUUUCCUUGCUCUGCUUCUUGUCCAGUUCCUAUGAUUCUAUAUCUCUCUUCUAACCUUGGGCUUCGCAUGCUAAACUCAUAACAAAUAACUGUCUCUGAACUCUCUCAGAAAUGUGCCUCUCUGCCUUUGAAUUUCAUAUGCCUUUUGUCUUGAAUGGCCUCACUCCCUUUGUUUCCUAAAAUAACUGAUAAAUUAUCAUUUAAAACAUGCUUCUGGUGGUUGUUGCUCUAGUCGCUAAGUCGUGUCUGACUCUUGCGACCCCAUGGACAGAGGAGCCUGGCAGGCUACAGUCCAUGGGAUUCUCCAGGCAAGAAUACUGGAGUGGGUUGCCAUUUCCUUCUCUGAGUUCCAGGAAUCAAACUCAGGUCUCCUGCAUCGUAGGCAGAUUCUUUACCAACUGAGCUACAAGAGAAGCCUCUUAAAACAUGCUGCUCAGCCCCAAAUCUGGGUUAUGUGUACUUUCUAUGUUAUUUCAAAAUUUCCUUUAUUUAUCUCAAUCAUUAUAUUUAUUACAUUAUAAUCUACUGCUUCAUUAUUUGCAUCUACCUCCAAACCAAUCACUUUGAUUUAACUGGUGUUAGGUGGGUUCCAGAUCGGGAAAGGAGUAUGUCAAGGCUGUAUAUUGUCACCCUGCUUAUUUA
This is a long non-coding RNA of Cervus hanglu yarkandensis (Yarkand deer), 3367 nucleotides long. The record is from Ensembl. NCBI's taxonomy places the organism in Eukaryota, Metazoa, Chordata, Mammalia, Artiodactyla, Cervidae.